Pelobates cultripes (western spadefoot toad) is the source of this 456-nucleotide non-coding RNA. The record is from the annotation of a GenBank genome assembly. Lineage: Eukaryota; Metazoa; Chordata; Amphibia; Anura; Pelobatidae.
CUCACACCGAAAUAUAUAUUCAGUGAUGUCAUCAAACUAUAACAAUAGAUGGGGUUCACUGUCCUGCUGUUGAAAUAACUAACAUUUUCAUUUAUUAGAAUAACAGAUUGUACAUUGCAAGGCUAUCAAGUACAAAAUAAAAGUUGUAAAAUAUAUUUUAAGUUUAAGCUAGAAUUUCUCCAAGACCAGUAGUAACCCGUGGGACGUUGUUUGCAUCGGAUUAUACACCUACAUGCCUUGCCUGACCAUUUCAUCUAAUCUAGAAUGCAAUGAAGUUGAAGGAUUAAAUUUGCUAUAGUGUGGACACAGGAGGGAGUGCAAUGUCACUUUCAAGAUGAUUAACAUUGGUAAUGGUUCCAUAAUAAUUACCUUUCACACUUUAUGCAGUGUAUUUCGCAGUGGCCUUAUGUAUAUUCUUUAUGAAAUAUUCUGUAUAAAAAUGUAUUGUAUGAAAAC